AGUGAACGCUGGCGGUAGGCCUAACACAUGCAAGUCGAACGGCAGCACAGUAAGAGCUUGCUCUUACGGGUGGCGAGUGGCGGACGGGUUAGGAAUACAUCGGAAUCUACUUUUUCGUGGGGGAUAACGUAGGGAAACUUACGCUAAUACCGCAUACGACCUUCGGGUGAAAGCAGGGGAACUUCGGACCUUUCGCGAUUGAAUGAGCCGAUGUCGGAUUAGCUAGUUGGCGGGGUAAAGGCCCACCAAGGCGACGAUCCGUCGCUGGUCUGAGAGGAUGAACAGACACACUGGAACUUAGACACGGUCCAGACUCAUACGGGAGGCAGCAGUGGGGAAUAUUGGACAAUGGGCGCAAGCCUGAUCCAGCCAUACCGCGUGAGUGAAGAAGGCCUUAGGGUUGUAAAGCCCUUUUGUUGGGAAAGAAAAGCAGCAGGUUAAUACCCCGCUGUUCUGACGGUACCCAAAGAAUAAGCACCGGCUAACUUCGUG
RNAcentral lists this ribosomal RNA (492 nucleotides) under uncultured bacterium. RNAcentral's name for it is "partial 16S ribosomal RNA". It matches the Rfam family "Bacterial small subunit ribosomal RNA", at positions 29 to 507 of the family's 1533-position model. The record is from RNAcentral.